RNAcentral lists this transfer RNA (73 nucleotides) under Felis catus (domestic cat). It matches the Rfam family "tRNA". From Rfam's summary of the family: Transfer RNA (tRNA) molecules are approximately 80 nucleotides in length. Their secondary structure includes four short double-helical elements and three loops (D, anti-codon, and T loops). The record is from Rfam by way of RNAcentral. RNAcentral also lists the same sequence under 3 other names. Lineage: Eukaryota; Metazoa; Chordata; Mammalia; Carnivora; Felidae.
ACUUGGCUGGCUCAGUCGGUGGAGCAUGAGGCUCUUGGUCUUGGGGCUGUGGGUUCGAACCCCACAUUGGGUA